RNAcentral lists this unclassified non-coding RNA (402 nucleotides) under soil metagenome. RNAcentral's name for it is "partial contains 5.8S ribosomal RNA, internal transcribed spacer 2, and large subunit ribosomal RNA". The stretch from base 1 to 121 matches the Rfam family "5.8S ribosomal RNA", at positions 35 to 154 of the family's 154-position model. The record is from RNAcentral.
GAUGAAGAACGUAGCGAAAUGCGAUAAGUAAUGUGAAUUGCAGAAUUCAGUGAAUCAUCGAAUCUUUGAACGCACCUUGCGCCCUUUGGCUAUUCUGAAGGGCAUGCCUGUUUGAGUAUCGUGAACACCUCAACUCUCAUGGUCUGCCAUGAUGAGCUUGGACUUUGGGGGUCUUGCUGGCCUACUGUCAGCUCCUCUCAAAUGAAUCAGCUUACCAGUGUUUGGUGGCACCACAGGUGUGAUAACUAUCUACGCUUGUGGUUUUCUGCCAGGUAACCUCCAGUGAUGGAGGUUCGCUGGAGCUCACAAAUGUCUCUCCUCAGCGAGGACAGCUUUUUGAACGUUUGAUCUCAGAUCAGGUAGGACUACCCGCUGAACUUAAGCAUAUCAAUAAGCGGAGGA